Molecule: ribosomal RNA, 242 nt
Filed under: uncultured bacterium
Lineage: Bacteria
Description: partial 16S ribosomal RNA
Rfam family: Bacterial small subunit ribosomal RNA
Source: RNAcentral
CAAGCGUUGUUCGGAAUUACUGGGCGUAAAGGGCGCGUAGGUGGCCAACUAAGUCAGACGUGAAAUCCCUCGGCUUAACCGGGGAACUGCGUCUGAUACUGGAUGGCUUGAGUUUGGGAGAGGGACGCGGAAUUCCAGGUGUAGCGGUGAAAUGCGUAGAUAUCUGGAGGAACACCGGUGGCGAAGGCGGCGUCCUGGACCAAUACUGACACUGAAACGCGAAAGCCAGGGGAGCAAACGGG